Molecule: long non-coding RNA, 1091 nt
Organism: Haliotis rubra (blacklip abalone)
Lineage: Eukaryota; Metazoa; Mollusca; Gastropoda; Lepetellida; Haliotidae
Exons: 3
Source: RefSeq, a predicted model, not a curated record
GUUUUCAAAACUCCCGUGGGUCUUCAGGCUCACAAUAACAAGUCCAAACUAAACAAUAAUAAAACACAACAAGCCACAUGUCACCAAAACCAUAUGCUCACAGUAAUUAUUGUUCAAUUGAUAAUUGUCUCGAACUGAAAGGAGGAGUACAACUAGUUUUAGUACCUCUCAUUUCAAAUGGCAAACAUGAAUUUGAUACUCUUGGAAAUUAAAGUUUAGUUUAGUUUUACACCUCUUUUAGCAAUAUUCCAGCAAUAUCACGGCAGGGAACACCAGAAAUGGGUUUCACACAUUGUACCCAUGUGGGGAAUCAAACCCAGGUCUUUGCUUUAACCACUGGGCUACACCACUUGGAAAUUGAAACAAAGACUAGCAUAUUCCAUAUGUUUGAUAAAAUACUUUGUCUUGUUCAUAGAACAUUUUCAGUGUUUGUUCUAGGCCUCCUGUUAGCUACAUUGCAGCGGAACAUAGUAACAAGUUCCUUUCCAGAAUAUCAUCGUUAACAAAGAAACAACUUGUGUGUUUGAUAAAGAGCAUUCCAAUAAGUUGGAAUUUGGGUCAUCUUCAACACCACAGAAAAAGGACCGACUGACCCAGUGUCAUUUUACGCCGCUUUUAGCAAUAUUCCAGCAAUAUCACAGCAGGGGGACACCAGAAAUGGGCUUCACACAUUGUACCCAUGUUGGGAAUCGAACCCGGGUCUACAGCGUUAUGAGCGAAGACUUAAACCACUAGGCAACCCCACUGCCUGAACUGUGAGUGUAGACUACUAUACUUAUUAUAGGGACAUUUUAUCCCUUUACACACAAAACUGAUUCUCAUGCCAAAUGUAUUUAUAUAGAAUGACAUCUGAAUAUCCUUAUCCAGCAGUUUCUGUUUGGGUGUUAUCACUGAAACGGACUUCUCAAAUGAAUAUGGCAGGCCUUCUGGUCACAGAUAUGAUCGAUGAUAACACCACGACACCUGUUAGAAUGUUUCAUGAUGCUUCCGAAACAGUAACAAUCAAAAACGAUAAUACAAGCAGAGAAAUCACUUUAAAGAGAGCAGAGAAACCAGGUUUAAAGGGAACUCUUCAAGCAGAGAAAGCAGGU